Molecule: microRNA precursor, 62 nt
Filed under: Alligator mississippiensis (American alligator)
Lineage: Eukaryota; Metazoa; Chordata; Crocodylia; Alligatoridae
Description: Ami-Mir-216-P2a_pre stem-loop
Source: RNAcentral
AAAUCUCUACAGGCAAAUGUGAUGUCUUUAUAGUAAUCUCACAAUUACCUAUAGAGAUUCUU